RNAcentral lists this ribosomal RNA (1333 nucleotides) under uncultured bacterium. RNAcentral's name for it is "bacterial SSU rRNA". It matches the Rfam family "Bacterial small subunit ribosomal RNA", at positions 28 to 1381 of the family's 1533-position model. The record is from RNAcentral.
GACGAACGCUGGCGGCGCGCCUAACACAUGCAAGUCGAACGAGCGAGAGAGAGCUUGCUUUCUUGAGCGAGUGGCGAACGGGUGAGUAACGCGUGAGGAACCUGCCUCAAAGAGGGGGACAACAGUUGGAAACGACUGCUAAUACCGCAUAAGCCCACAGCUCGGCAUCGAGCAGAGGGAAAAGGAGCAAUCCGCUUUGAGAUGGCCUCGCGUCCGAUUAGCUAGUUGGUGAGGUAAUGGCCCACCAAGGCGACGAUCGGUAGCCGGACUGAGAGGUUGAACGGCCACAUUGGGACUGAGACACGGCCCAGACUCCUACGGGAGGCAGCAGUGGGGAAUAUUGCACAAUGGGGGAAACCCUGAUGCAGCGACGCCGCGUGGAGGAAGAAGGUCUUCGGAUUGUAAACUCCUGUUGUUGAGGAAGAUAAUGACGGUACUCAACAAGGAAGUGACGGCUAACUACGUGCCAGCAGCCGCGGUAAAACGUAGGUCACAAGCGUUGUCCGGAAUUACUGGGUGUAAAGGGAGCGCAGGCGGGAAGGCAAGUUGGAAGUGAAAUCCAUGGGCUCAACCCAUGAACUGCUUUCAAAACUGUUUUUCUUGAGUAGUGCAGAGGUAGGCGGAAUUCCCGGUGUAGCGGUGGAAUGCGUAGAUAUCGGGAGGAACACCAGUGGCGAAGGCGGCCUACUGGGCACCAACUGACGCUGAGGCUCGAAAGUGUGGGUAGCAAACAGGAUUAGAUACCCUGGUAGUCCACACUGUAAACGAUGAUUACUAGGUGUUGGAGGAUUGACCCCUUCAGUGCCGCAGUUAACACAAUAAGUAAUCCACCUGGGGAGUACGACCGCAAGGUUGAAACUCAAAGGAAUUGACGGGGGCCCGCACAAGCAGUGGAGUAUGUGGUUUAAUUCGACGCAACGCGAAGAACCUUACCAAGUCUUGACAUCCUGCGACGGUGCUGGAAACAGUACUUUCCUUCGGGACGCAGAGACAGGUGGUGCAUGGUUGUCGUCAGCUCGUGUCGUGAGAUGUUGGGUUAAGUCCCGCAACGAGCGCAACCCUUAUGGUCAGUUACUACGCAAGAGGACUUUGGCCAGACUGCCGUUGACAAAACGGAGGAAGGUGGGGAUGACGUCAAAUCAUCAUGCCCUUUAUGACUUGGGCUACACACGUACUACAAUGGCGUUAAACAAAGAGAAGCAAGACCGCGAGGUGGAGCAAAACUCAGAAACAACGUCCCAGUUCGGACUGCAGGCUGCAACUCGCCUGCACGAAGUCGGAAUUGCUAGUAAUCGCAGAUCAGCAUGCUGCGGUGAAUACGUUUCCCGGGCCU